Molecule: ribosomal RNA, 253 nt
Filed under: uncultured bacterium
Lineage: Bacteria
Description: partial 16S ribosomal RNA
Rfam family: Bacterial small subunit ribosomal RNA
Source: RNAcentral
UACGAAGGGGGCUAGCGUUGCUCGGAAUCACUGGGCGUAAAGGGUGCGUAGGCGGGUCUUUAAGUCAGGGGUGAAAUCCUGGAGCUCAACUCCAGAACUGCCUUUGAUACUGAGGAUCUUGAGUUCGGGAGAGGUGAGUGGAACUGCGAGUGUAGAGGUGAAAUCCGUAGAUAUUCGCAAGAACACCAGUGGCGAAGGCGGCUCACUGGCUCGGUACUGACGCUGAGGUGCGAAAGCGUGGGGAGCAAACAGG